Molecule: long non-coding RNA, 273 nt
Organism: Eurytemora carolleeae
Lineage: Eukaryota; Metazoa; Arthropoda; Copepoda; Calanoida; Temoridae
Exons: 3
Source: RefSeq, a predicted model, not a curated record
UGCCGCUUGGCAUUUAUCAUAAUGUUGAAACUGUUUAUUUUAUGCUUCUGCUUUCUUCAAAUGGUUUCAACAAAAUUCUUAAUUAUUGAGACAGCAGAUACAGAGGAAACGACUAAAUAUGGAGACAAUUUACUAGCAACUGGAAAUGUAACGAAAGGAGACGAUUAUUUCUUACAUGAAUGGGAUCCUCCCUCCCCGUUUAAAUGAUUGGAAUGAUUUCAAAUCUUUCAAAUGAAUUUUAUGUGUUUGAAAUAAAUAACAAGCUAUAAUUUU